GGAAUCUUCGGCAAUGGGGGCAACCCUGACCGAGCAACGCCGCGNGAGUGAAGAAGGUUUUCGGAUCGUAAAGCUCUGUUGUAAGAGAAGAACGUGUGUGAGAGUGGAAAGUUCACACAGUGACGGUAACUUACCAGAAAGGGACGGCUAACUACGUGCCAG
RNAcentral lists this ribosomal RNA (162 nucleotides) under uncultured bacterium. RNAcentral's name for it is "partial 16S rRNA". It matches the Rfam family "Bacterial small subunit ribosomal RNA", at positions 358 to 511 of the family's 1533-position model. The record is from RNAcentral.